CACUUGCUGGGUGGAUUAGUGGCGAACGGGUGAGUAACACGUGAGUAACCUGCCCUUAACUCUGGGAUAAGCCUGGGAAACUGGGUCUAAUACCGGAUAGGAGCGYCYACCGCAUGGUGGGUGUUGGAAAGAUUUAUCGGUUUUGGAUGGACUCGCGGCCUAUCAGCUUGUUGGUGAGGUAAUGGCUCACCAAGGCGACGACGGGUAGCCGGCCUGAGAGGGUGACCGGCCACACUGGGACUGAGACACGGCCCAGACUCCUACGGGAGGCAGCAGUGGGGAAUAUUGCACAAUGGGCGCAAGCCUGAUGCAGCGACGCCGCGUGAGGGAUGACGGCCUUCGGGUUGUAAACCUCUUUCAGUAGGGAAGAAGCGAAAGUGACGGUACCUGCAGAAGAAGCACCGGCUAACUACGUGCCAGCAGCCGCGGUAAUACGUAGGGUGCGAGCGUUAUCCGGAAUUAUUGGGCGUAAAGAGCUCGUAGGCGGUUUGUCGCGUCUGUCGUGAAAGUCCGGGGCUUAACCCCGGAUCUGCGGUGGGUACGGGCAGACUAGAGUGCAGUAGGGGAGACUGGAAUUCCUGGUGUAGCGGUGGAAUGCGCAGAUAUCAGGAGGAACACCGAUGGCGAAGGCAGGUCUCUGGGCUGUAACUGACGCUGAGGAGCGAAAGCAUGGGGAGCGAACAGGAUUAGAUACCCUGGUAGUCCAUGCCGUAAACGUUGGGCACUAGGUGUGGGGACCAUUCCACGGUUUCCGCGCCGCAGCUAACGCAUUAAGUGCCCCGCCUGGGGAGUACGGCCGCAAGGCUAAAACUCAAAGGAAUUGACGGGGGCCCGCACAAGCGGCGGAGCAUGCGGAUUAAUUCGAUGCAACGCGAAGAACCUUACCAAGGCUUGACAUGUUCUCGAUCGCCGUAGAGAUACGGUUUCCCCUUUGGGGCGGGUUCACAGGUGGUGCAUGGUUGUCGUCAGCUCGUGUCGUGAGAUGUUGGGUUAAGUCCCGCAACGAGCGCAACCCUCGUUCCAUGUUGCCAGCACGUMGUGGUGGGGACUCAUGGGAGACUGCCGGGGUCAACUCGGAGGAAGGUGAGGACGACGUCAAAUCAUCAUGCCCCUUAUGUCUUGGGCUUCACGCAUGCUACAAUGGCCGGUACAAUGGGUUGCGAUACUGUGAGGUGGAGCUAAUCCCAAAAAGCCGGUCUCAGUUCGGAUUGGGGUCUGCAACUCGACCCCAUGAAGUCGGAGUCGCUAGUAAUCGCAGAUCAGCAACGCUUCYGGGAAACUUUCCCGGC
This is a ribosomal RNA of 1289 nucleotides. It matches the Rfam family "Bacterial small subunit ribosomal RNA", at positions 78 to 1378 of the family's 1533-position model.